This is a non-coding RNA of Podarcis lilfordi (Lilford's wall lizard), 73 nucleotides long. NCBI's taxonomy places the organism in Eukaryota, Metazoa, Chordata, Lepidosauria, Squamata, Lacertidae. The record is from the annotation of a GenBank genome assembly.
GGCUCUCUAGCUCAGUUGGUAGUGUGUGGUGCUGAUAACGCCAAGGUUGCAGGUUUGAUCCACGUAUGGGACA